Molecule: ribosomal RNA, 397 nt
Filed under: uncultured bacterium
Lineage: Bacteria
Description: partial 16S ribosomal RNA
Rfam family: Bacterial small subunit ribosomal RNA
Source: RNAcentral
AUACGAAGGGUGCAAGCGUUACUCGGAAUUACUGGGCGUUAAGCGUGCGUAGGUGGUUGUUUAAGUCUGUCGUGAAAGCCCUGGGCUCAACCUGGGAAUGGCGAUGGAAACUGGGCGACUAGAGUGUGGCAGAGGGUAGUGGAAUUCCUGGUGUAGCAGUGAAAUGCGUAGAGAUCAGGAGGAACAUCCGUGGCGAAGGCGACUGCCUGGGCCAACACUGACACUGAGGCACGAAAGCGUGGGGAGCAAACAGGAUUAGAUACCCUGGUAGUCCACGCCCUAAACGAUGCGAACUGGAUGUUGGGUGCAAUUUGGCACGCAGUAUCGAAGCUAACGCGUUAAGUUCGCCGCCUGGGGAGUACGGUCGCAAGACUGAAACUCAAAGGAAUUGACGGGG